AAAACUUGGGGACUCCCAUUUUGACCGUCGACACUAAUUCCAGUCGGUGCAGAAACGAAACCAAACGCCCCGCCCGGGCCUUCGCCGCCGCCUCCGGCCGUCGCUCGGAGGAUGACAACACAAGCUCAAUCUAUGGACUUUUUCAUCUUCCUGUGACAGCUAAUGGCAACCCGAAGAAGAUAGGUCAAUGAAAACUGAAAUGACCUUCUAAUCUUCCUCCAGAAUUCUAACAGGAGAAAAUUACUGACGUUCUUAAAGAACCCACUCUGGUACUAUUUGUUUAAGCUGUUAUUACUAUUUGAAAUCAGGACCUAGCACAUACUGAGCAAGAUGGGAGGCAAAGACUGGAGAAAUUCUGAAAGCUUAAGGCCUGGCCUACAUCGUGACAAGAGCCUCUGUUUCAAACAAGGCAGGACUCCAGUUUCUACAGAAAACAAGCUGAAUCACCUAGCCUCGUGGGAGUGAGCAACUACUGACUCUUGGACUUUCCAUUCACAGCUGCCUGUUGUUGAGUUGUUUGGACUGGAUUUCAAUAAAUUCCCUUAAUCUAUACAUUCCAUAAAUCCUAUGACUUUAGAGAACCCUGACUAAUACACUUAUGAGAAAGAACUUGCUACUAUAAAUGACCUGCUUCUUACCAUACUGUUGCCUUAAAUUUUUCUUUUUAAAAUGUUGAGACAUGAUACCAUCUGCAGUCAUGGCUGACACUGACUCCAUGUUCCUCCUGCCUUGAACUUCCUGAGUGCUGGGAUUCCAGGCAUGCAUCACCAUAGUUAACUACCUCUGCCUGUUAGAGCUCGUUUAUAAGCACUGCCUAUAAUAUCCAUUACUAUGGUGUUUGCUAGUUCGUAAAAUUCUACUUCCUCAGUCUUGCAUUUAUUCAUUCCAAUAUUACUACAAUAAAGAUUUUUUUCUACUUACCGUUUCUGAAAGUAUUUGAUAAUAUAAGUAUGAGGGUACACUUAUUUUAUUUCAUGGGUUAUAAUUAAUUACGAUGAACAUCACUUUUUCUAAAGUUAUCCCAAGCUAGGACAGCGUUCUAAUCCAACCAAAAAUCAUUUCUCUGACAGAAAACUAACUUUGUUAUUCAUAGAAUAUUUGCUUAUUUCUAUAGGCAGAUGAAUUUCAGAAUUGCUAACAAAUAUUUCAGAAAAAUGAAUAUUCAGCUUUUUUUGUAAGCUACCUCAAAAGUUUUUUUGCACUGAAAAAGAGAAGGGUCCAAAGGAAGGAAGGGAAGAAAGAAGAUCCUACAUGCUUCUAUAUGUAGAAUAUAAAUUCUACCAGGCUUAGGUAAAAUAUGUGCAUUGAUAUGAUAAAAACUAUUAUUACAUAUUACACGUUUGUAGCUAGCAACCUCAGUAUAUGCUUCUAUCAUAAGAAUAACUACAAUACCCUUUU
Molecule: non-coding RNA, 1398 nt
Organism: Rattus norvegicus (Norway rat)
Lineage: Eukaryota; Metazoa; Chordata; Mammalia; Rodentia; Muridae
Source: RefSeq, a predicted model, not a curated record